This 1198-nucleotide long non-coding RNA is filed under the name Ficedula albicollis (Collared flycatcher). Its description in RNAcentral is "lncRNA (ENSFALG00000027264.1)". The record is from RNAcentral. Lineage: Eukaryota; Metazoa; Chordata; Aves; Passeriformes; Muscicapidae.
AUGUCAUGGGGACACAUCCAUGGGACACAUCCAUGGGGACAUCAUUUCAUGGGACACAUCCAUGGGGACGUUAAUUUGUGGGACACAUCCAUGGGGACAUCAUCCCGUGGGACACAUCCAUGGGGACAUCAUCUCAUGGGAUGCAUCAUCUUUGUGGGGACACAUCCGUGGGGAUGUCAACUUGUGGGACACAUCCAUGGGGGACACAUCCACGGGGACAUCGUCACCUUCCUGGGGACAUCUCAUCUUUCUGGGGACAUCAUCUUCUUGGGACCCAUCAUCUCCACAGGGACACGUUGUUCCUUUGGGGACACAACCAUGGGGCCAUCAUCUUGUGGGACGUGCCAUCCUUGUGGGGACACAUCCGUAGGGACGUCACCUCCAUGGGACGCGUCGUCCUUGUGGGGACAUCAUCUUCUUGGGACCCAUCACCUCCAUGGGGACAGAUUGUCUCCUUGGGGACACCAUCUCCGUGGGGACACCACCACGGGGACAGACAGUGUCCAUGGGGACACGCUGUGUGCACGGGGACACCUCACCUCCAUGGGGACACCCGAGUGGGGACACCUCACCUGCACGGGGACGUCUCUGCUGGGGACUGCCCAGCCCCCUCUACCAGAUGUGGGGUCCCCCCAUGCUCUGGGUGCACCACGGACCCCCAGGAGGGUUUGGGGUUCUCUGUGCUCUGCGGGAUUCAGGUUUUGGGGUGUCCCACACGCCCAAGGUGCAGCUCAGACCCCCACUUACCCGAUUUGGGACUGGGCUCUUCACUUUUUGAGGUGCCCCAUCCCUGGGUGCUUCACCUUUUGGGGUGCCCCUCACUCCCCGUGCCCCCCAGGGAUGACCUGCCAGGUGUGCAGCUCCUACCUGGCGGAUGAGGUGGGGUCAGGGAGAUUCAGGUACAGGGGUGCCCCCAGAUUCAGGAAUUGGGGUGCCCCAGAUUCAGGUACUGGGGUGCCCCUCACCCCUCCCAUGUUGGGGUCCCCCGUUCCCCCCAGGGAUGACCUGCCAGGUGUGCAGCUCCUACCUGGCGGACGAGGUGGGGUCAGGGAGAUUCAGGUACAGGGGUGCCCCCAGAUUCAGGAAUUGGGGUGCCCCAGAUUCAGGUACAGGGGUGCCCCCAGAUUCAGGGGGGGGGGGGGGGGGGGGGGGGGGGGGGGGGGGGGGGGGGGGGGGGGGGGGGGGGGGGGGGGGGGGG